Molecule: long non-coding RNA, 218 nt
Filed under: Phoenix dactylifera (date palm)
Lineage: Eukaryota; Viridiplantae; Streptophyta; Magnoliopsida; Arecales; Arecaceae
Description: long non-coding RNA (PDAC_LNC010174)
Source: RNAcentral
GGAGGCGCCACACGCCUGCCGAAGUACCUAGGGCAAAAUUAUCACUAGAAGUUGCUUGGUGAAGCAACUGGUUUAGAACCUACCAAUAGGUGUAUAUGGGUUAGCCGAGCCACACUCGGGCCUAUAUGCGAUCUAUUGGGUUUUAGUGCCCACUAAAGAAUUAGGAGUAAUUUUUCGAAUUGGAGGUAGAGGCUACCAAUUUGUAUAAAAUAGUGGGA